Molecule: ribosomal RNA, 253 nt
Filed under: uncultured bacterium
Lineage: Bacteria
Description: partial 16S ribosomal RNA
Rfam family: Bacterial small subunit ribosomal RNA
Source: RNAcentral
UACGGGGGGAGCAAGCGUUGUUCGGAUUUACUGGGCGUAAAGGGCGCGUAGGCGGCACCACAAGUCGACUGUAAAAUCUCCGGGCUUAACCCGGAAAGGUCAGCCGAUACUGCGGGGCUAGAGUGCAGAAGGGGCAACUGGAAUUCUCGGUGUAGCGGUGAAAUGCGUAGAUAUCGAGAGGAACACCUGCGGCGAAGGCGGGUUGCUGGGCUGACACUGACGCUGAGGCGCGAAAGCUAGGGGAGCAAACAGG